CUAAGAAUAUUCCGCAAUGGACGGAAGUCUGACGGAGCGACGCCGCGUGGAUGACGAAGGCCGAAAGGUUGUAAAGUUCUUUUGCUGGGGAAGAAUAACCGCAGGAGGGAAUGCCUGUGGGAUGACAAGAACCGGCGAAUAAGCCCCGGCCAACUACGUGCCAGCAGCCGCGGUAACACGUAGGGGGGCGAGCGUUGUUCGGAAUUACUGGGCGUAAAGGGCAUGUAGGCGGCUUGGAAAGCCUGGCGUGAAAGUCUGCAGCUUAACUGCAGGGGUGCGCUGGGAACUGCUGAGCUUGAGUGACGGAGAGGGAGCUGGAAUUCCUGGUGUAGGGGUGAAAUCUGUAGAUAUCAGGAAGAACACCGAUGGCGAAGGCAAGCUCCUGGCCGAUGACUGACGCUGAGGUGCGAAAGUGUGGGGAUCAAACAGGAUUAGAUACCCUGGUAGUCCACACAGUCAACGAUGUGCACUAGGUGCUGGGGCGGUAGCUUCGGUGCCGGAGCGAACGUGGUAAGUGCACCGCCUGGGGAGUAUGCUCGCAA
This 542-nucleotide ribosomal RNA is filed under the name uncultured bacterium. Its description in RNAcentral is "partial 16S ribosomal RNA". It matches the Rfam family "Bacterial small subunit ribosomal RNA", at positions 355 to 891 of the family's 1533-position model. The record is from RNAcentral.